GACGUAGGGGGCGAGCGUUGUCCGGAAUCAUUGGGCGUAAAGCGCGCGUAGGUGGCCUCGUAAGUCCGCUGUGAAAGUCAAAGGCUCAACCUUUGAAAGCCGGUGGAUACUGUGAGGCUAGAGUACGGAAGAGGCGAGUGGAAUUCCUGGUGUAGCGGUGGAAUGCGCAGAUAUCAGGAGGAACACCAAUAGCGAAGGCAGCUCGCUGGGACGUAACUGACACUGAGGCGCGAAAGCGUGGGGAGCGAACAGG
RNAcentral lists this ribosomal RNA (253 nucleotides) under uncultured bacterium. RNAcentral describes it as "partial 16S ribosomal RNA". It matches the Rfam family "Bacterial small subunit ribosomal RNA", at positions 524 to 776 of the family's 1533-position model. The record is from RNAcentral.